CUUCACCGACCCCAACAACAGCGGCCGAUCCUGCGGACGCUCCCGCCCGUACGUCGCCAACAACGCCUGCGCCUC
This 75-nucleotide antisense RNA is filed under the name Micromonospora sp. TSRI0369. RNAcentral describes it as "ASpks sRNA". It matches the Rfam family "ASpks TB sRNA". The record is from RNAcentral. Lineage: Bacteria; Bacillati; Actinomycetota; Actinomycetes; Micromonosporales; Micromonosporaceae.